RNAcentral lists this ribosomal RNA (433 nucleotides) under uncultured bacterium. Its description in RNAcentral is "partial 16S ribosomal RNA". It matches the Rfam family "Bacterial small subunit ribosomal RNA", at positions 29 to 507 of the family's 1533-position model. The record is from RNAcentral.
AACGAACGCUGGCGGCAUGCCUAACACAUGCAAGUCGAACGAGACCUUCGGGUCUAGUGGCGCACGGGUGCGUAACGCGUGGGAACCUGCCCUUAGGUUCGGAAUAACUCCCCGAAAGGGGUGCUAAUACCGGAUACUGUCUUCGGACCAAAGAUUUAUCGCCUUUGGAUGGGCCCGCGUUGGAUUAGCUAGUUGGUAGGGUAAAAGCCUACCAAGGCGACGAUCCAUAGCUGGUCUGAGAGGAUGAUCAGCCACACUGGGACUGAGACACGGCCCAGACUCCUACGGGAGGCAGCAGUGGGGAAUAUUGGACAAUGGGCGAAAGCCUGAUCCAGCAAUGCCGCGUGAGUGAUGAAGGCGUUAGGGUUGUAAAGCUCUUUUACCCGGGAUGAUAAUGACAGUACCGGGAGAAUAAGCUCCGGCUAACUCCGUG